CCCUUAGACGUUCUGAGCCGCACGCGCGCUACACUGACGAAGGCAACGAGCUUUCCUUUACCGAAAGGUACGGGUAAUCUUUUGAAACUUCGUCGUGCUGGGGAUAGAUCCUUGCAAUUAUUGAUCUUAAACGAGGAAUUCCUAGUAAGCGCAAGUCAUCAACUUGCGUUGAUUACGUCCCUGCCCUUUGUACACACCGCCCGUCGCUACUACCGAUUGAAUGGUUUAGUGAGGCCUUCGGAUCCGCGACUCGUUUUGUGGAGAAGUUGGACAAACUCAGUCAUUUAGAGGAAGUAAAAGUCGUAACA
This 308-nucleotide ribosomal RNA is filed under the name uncultured eukaryote. RNAcentral's name for it is "partial 18S ribosomal RNA". It matches the Rfam family "Eukaryotic small subunit ribosomal RNA", at positions 1470 to 1796 of the family's 1831-position model. The record is from RNAcentral.